This 301-nucleotide ribosomal RNA is filed under the name uncultured bacterium. RNAcentral's name for it is "partial 16S ribosomal RNA". It matches the Rfam family "Bacterial small subunit ribosomal RNA", at positions 509 to 807 of the family's 1533-position model. The record is from RNAcentral.
CAGCAGCCGCGGGAAUACGAAGGGUGCAAGCGUUAAUCGGAAUUACUGGGCGUAAAGCGUGCGUAGGCGGUUUGUUAAGUCUGCUGUGAAAUCCCCGGGCUCAACCUGGGAAUGGCAGUGGAUACUGGCAAGCUAGAGUGUGUCAGAGGAUGGUGGAAUUCCCGGUGUAGCGGUGAAAUGCGUAGAGAUCGGGAGGAACAUCAGUGGUGAAGGCGGCCAUCUGGGACAACACUGACGCUGAGGCACGAAAGCGUGGGGAGCAAACAGGAUUAGAUACCCCCGUAGUCCCUGUCUCUUAUAC